UGGGGCGUGGCCAAGUGGUAAGGCAGCGGGUUUUGAUCUCGUUAUUCGAAGGUUCGAAUCCUUCCGCUCCAA
Molecule: transfer RNA, 72 nt
Filed under: Vancouveria planipetala
Lineage: Eukaryota; Viridiplantae; Streptophyta; Magnoliopsida; Ranunculales; Berberidaceae
Description: tRNA-Gln
Rfam family: tRNA
About the family: Transfer RNA (tRNA) molecules are approximately 80 nucleotides in length. Their secondary structure includes four short double-helical elements and three loops (D, anti-codon, and T loops). Further hydrogen bonds mediate the characteristic L-shaped molecular structure. tRNAs have two regions of fundamental functional importance: the anti-codon, which is responsible for specific mRNA codon recognition, and the 3' end, to which the tRNAs corresponding amino acid is attached (by aminoacyl-tRNA synthetases). tRNAs cope with the degeneracy of the genetic code in two manners: having more than one tRNA (with a specific anti-codon) for a particular amino acid; and 'wobble' base-pairing, i.e. permitting non-standard base-pairing at the 3rd anti-codon position.
Source: RNAcentral